GACGAACGCUGGCGGCGUGCUUAACACAUGCAAGUCGAACGGAAAGGCCCUGCUUUUGUGGGGUGCUCGAGUGGCGAACGGGUGAGUAACACGUGAGUAACCUGCCCUUGACUUUGGGAUAACUUCAGGAAACUGGGGCUAAUACCGGAUAGGAGCUCCUGCUGCAUGGUGGGGGUUGGAAAGUUUCGGCGGUUGGGGAUGGACUCGCGGCUUAUCAGCUUGUUGGUGGGGUAGUGGCUUACCAAGGGUUUGACGGGUAGCCGGCCUGAGAGGGUGACCGGCCACAUUGGGACUGAGAGACGGCCCAGACUGCUACGGGAGGCAGCAGUGGGGAAUAUUGCACAAUGGGCGGAAGCCUGAUGCAGCGACGCCGCGUGCGGGAUGACGGCCUUCGGGUUGUAAACCGCUUUCGCCUGUGACGAAGCGUGAGUGACGGUAAUGGGUAAAGAAGCACCGGCUAACUACGUG
RNAcentral lists this ribosomal RNA (468 nucleotides) under uncultured bacterium. RNAcentral describes it as "partial 16S ribosomal RNA". It matches the Rfam family "Bacterial small subunit ribosomal RNA", at positions 28 to 507 of the family's 1533-position model. The record is from RNAcentral.